AGAGUCCUGAAAUGUACGUUGUAAUACCUGAUAUUUUGACCGAACAUUAUUUUAAUUUCUUCGGGAGCCCGGAGUUUUUCAAUUGCGUAAAUGCCUCUUUAAAGAGGACUUACAGAAAGUUGAAAAUAGGACACCCACCUGCUGAAUGCGGGAUCAAAAUGAAGGAAUCAAAAACGACGGCAUGAUUGGGACUUUU
Molecule: non-coding RNA, 196 nt
Filed under: Neobacillus sp. PS3-40
Lineage: Bacteria; Bacillati; Bacillota; Bacilli; Caryophanales; Bacillaceae
Description: 6S RNA
Rfam family: 6S / SsrS RNA
About the family: E. coli 6S RNA was the first non coding RNA to be sequenced, but its function was unknown until recently. It consists of 184 nucleotides that fold into an extended hairpin structure with a large single-stranded internal bulge.
Source: RNAcentral